GUAAAUAUUUCAGCAAUGGAAUAUGAGAGCGUCGUAAGGGUGCGUAACACGUAUGCAAUCUGCCCUCAACUGGGGUAUAGCUCGGUGAAAACCGGAUUAACCCCCCAUAAGAUCACGGUGUGGCAUCACACAGUGAUUAAAUCUCCGGAGGUUGAGGAUGAGCAUGCGGAUGAUUAGCUAGUUGGUAGUGUAACGAACUACCAAGGCGAUGAUCAAUAGGGGAACUGAGAGGUUGAUCCCCCACACUGGCACUGAGAUACGGGCCAGACUCCUACGGGAGGCAGCAGUAGGGAAUAUUGGACAAUGGGUGCAAGCCUGAUCCAGCCAUGCCGCGUGCAGGAAGAAGGCUUUCUGAGUUGUAAACUGCUUUUGCCAGGGGAUAAAAUACGGAUGCGUCCGGAAUUGAAGGUACCUGGUGAAUAAGCCACGGCUAACUACGUGCCAGCAGCCGCGGUAAUACGUAGGUGGCAAGCGUUGUCCGGAUUUAUUGGGUUUAAAGGGUGCGUAGGCGGUCUUUUAAGUCAGCGGUGAAAUACUUCAGCUUAACUGGAGAGGUGCCAUUGAUACUGGGAGACUUGAGUACUGAUGAGGUAGGCGGAAUGGACGGUGUAGCGGUGAAAUGCUUAGAUAUCGUCCAGAACACCGAUAGCGAAGGCAGCUUACUAAGGAGUAACUGACGCUGAGGCACGAAAGUGUGGGGAUCAAACAGGAUUAGAUACCCUGGUAGUCCACACUGUAAGCGAUGAUUACUCGAUGUUGGCGAUACACAGCCAGCGUCUUAGCGAAAGCGAUAAGUAAUCCACC
RNAcentral lists this ribosomal RNA (804 nucleotides) under uncultured Bacteroidota bacterium. RNAcentral describes it as "bacterial SSU rRNA". It matches the Rfam family "Bacterial small subunit ribosomal RNA", at positions 68 to 873 of the family's 1533-position model. The record is from RNAcentral. Lineage: Bacteria; Pseudomonadati; Bacteroidota.